GCCCCGAUAGCUCAGUCGGUAGAGCAAAGGACUGAAAAUCCUUGUGUCGCUGGUUCGAUUCCAGCUCGGGGCA
RNAcentral lists this transfer RNA (73 nucleotides) under Candidatus Epulonipiscium sp. Its description in RNAcentral is "tRNA-Phe". It matches the Rfam family "tRNA". Rfam says of the family: Transfer RNA (tRNA) molecules are approximately 80 nucleotides in length. Their secondary structure includes four short double-helical elements and three loops (D, anti-codon, and T loops). Lineage: Bacteria; Bacillati; Bacillota; Clostridia; Lachnospirales; Lachnospiraceae. The record is from RNAcentral.